UUCUGCUUUCCUUCUUUGAGGAUGGUGGGUAGGUUGGACUUGUCGGGCAGCUCCACAGCGACAACAGGCUUGACCUGCAAGACAUCAAUAAGGAUUACUUUAAUCCUCUGUCCAGCAGGAUGGCUCUGAACUCCUCGUCCUCACACAGAUCUUAAAGCAACAUGGGUGCACCGGACAAGUGAGUGCUACAGUAUACUGUAAACAUACCAAUUGGAGUCUCCUCCAGGAAGGUCUUGGCAUUGAGACUGGCUCCGUGAGACACCAGCAGCUCUGCCACAUGCAUCUAAAGCAGCAGCAACAACAACAACAGUGGAAGCAAUUUGUAUUAAUGGUUCCAGAAACCUUUGUGUGCGCCUGAGGCUCUUAUCUCUUUCCUGUUGUGUUUUCCUUACCUGAC
Molecule: long non-coding RNA, 397 nt
Organism: Haplochromis burtoni (Burton's mouthbrooder)
Lineage: Eukaryota; Metazoa; Chordata; Actinopteri; Cichliformes; Cichlidae
Exons: 3
Source: RefSeq, a predicted model, not a curated record